GACAGAGGGUGCGAACGUUGCUCGGAAUUACUGGGCGUAAAGGGCGCGUAGGCGGCCUGUUAAGUCGAACGUGAAAUCCCCGGGCUCAACCCGGGAACUGCGUCCGAUACUGGCAGGCUUGAAUCCGGGAGAGGGAUGCGGAAUUCCAGGUGUAGCGGUGAAAUGCGUAGAUAUCUGGAGGAACACCGGUGGCGAAGGCGGCAUCCUGGACCGGCAUUGACGCUGAGGCGCGAAAGCCAGGGGAGCAAACGGG
This 253-nucleotide ribosomal RNA is filed under the name uncultured bacterium. RNAcentral describes it as "partial 16S ribosomal RNA". It matches the Rfam family "Bacterial small subunit ribosomal RNA", at positions 524 to 776 of the family's 1533-position model. The record is from RNAcentral.